CCUACGGGGGGCAGCAGUGAGGAAUAUUGGUCAAUGGGCGAGAGUCUGAACCAGCCAAGUAGCGUGAAGGAUGACUGCCCUGUGGGUUGUAAACUUCUUUUAUAUGGGAAUAAAACGUUCCACGUGUGGGAUUUUGUAUGUACCAUAUGAAUAAGGAUCGGCUAACUCCGUGCCAGCAGCCGCGGUAAUACGGAGGAUCCGAGCGUUAUCCGGAUUUAUUGGGUUUAAAGGGAGCGUAGGUGGAUUGUUAAGUCAGUUGUGAAAGUUUGCGGCUCAACCGUAAAAUUGCAGUUGAAACUGGCAGUCUUGAGUACAGUAGAGGUGGGCGGAAUGCGUGGUGUAGCGGUGAAAUGCUUAGAUAUCACGAAGAACUCCGAUUGCGAAGGCAGUUCACUGGACUGCAACUGACACUGAGGCUCGAAAGUGUGGGUAUCAAACAGGAUUAGAUACCCUUGUAGUC
RNAcentral lists this ribosomal RNA (460 nucleotides) under uncultured bacterium. RNAcentral describes it as "partial 16S ribosomal RNA". It matches the Rfam family "Bacterial small subunit ribosomal RNA", at positions 338 to 795 of the family's 1533-position model. The record is from RNAcentral.